ACACGACUACAUUAGAUACCCGUGUAGUCCCAGCCGUAAACGAUACUCGCUAGGUGUCGGCCACGGUGCGACCGUUGUCGGUGCCGUAGGGAAGCCGUGAAGCGAGCCACCUGGGAAGUACGGCCGCAAGGCUGAAACUUAAAGGAAUUGGCGGGGAGCACAACAACGGGUGGAGCUUGCGGUUUAAUUGGAUUCAACGCCGGAAAUCUUACCGGGACCGACAGCAACAUGAAGGCCAAGCUGAAGACUUUGCCGGAUUAGCUG
RNAcentral lists this ribosomal RNA (264 nucleotides) under uncultured archaeon. Its description in RNAcentral is "partial 16S ribosomal RNA". It matches the Rfam family "Archaeal small subunit ribosomal RNA", at positions 719 to 982 of the family's 1478-position model. The record is from RNAcentral.